GUGGAGUCUGGUGGAGAUUUUCCAGCGUUCUCAGUCCUGCUACCAACCUGAACUAGACACUAGGAACAGAUGAGGGUUUAGUCAUGUGCAGCAGAGCUGUUGAUGGAAAGAAGAUCAUUCAUUCAAAACCGUGAAGGGGCAGAGACUGACCUCAAACACCCAGGAUCCACUCUCUGGUCUGUACUCCAGGAAACGUGCACCCUGUUUGCGGGACGCCUUCUCUAACCGGCCCUCAUAAUUCAUGUCCGCCAGGCGGUCGGGGCUCCUGAUCUGAGUGCAGCUGGUUUUGUCGUUGGGCCAGACGCCGUCCAGAGUCACCUCGGCCCGUCUGCCAUUGAGAGAGCAGAUUCAGGGAACAUCAGAGCAGAACAAAACCUCAAUCACGAAGUAUUGUUUUAGCUGAGAGCAGAUAACACGAGGAAAAAAUAAAUCAUCAUAAAGAUGCUUCAGGAGGGCGUGGUGUUUGCAGGUGCCUCUCUGAAAUCCUCUUAAAUAAGGUUUUUCUUUUAAUUAGAUCUCCUGUCACUCACCUGUUAAGCCCCUCCCCCUCAGGUGGCUUGUUUUUGUCAUCGGGAUACACGAUGAC
Molecule: long non-coding RNA, 586 nt
Organism: Oryzias melastigma (Indian medaka)
Lineage: Eukaryota; Metazoa; Chordata; Actinopteri; Beloniformes; Adrianichthyidae
Exons: 2
Source: RefSeq, a predicted model, not a curated record